Molecule: small nucleolar RNA, 105 nt
Organism: Cebus imitator (Panamanian white-faced capuchin)
Lineage: Eukaryota; Metazoa; Chordata; Mammalia; Primates; Cebidae
Product: small nucleolar RNA U13
Exons: 1
Source: RefSeq, a predicted model, not a curated record
GUCCUUUUGUAGUUCAUGAGCAUGAUGAUUGGGUGUUCAUGAGAACAUGUGAGCUAUGCCACCCUCUGAACCUUGUUACGACAUCGGUACAUUACCCAUCUGACC